AGGUCAAGCUACAAAGGGCGCAUGGUGAAUGCCUUGGCAUCAGGAGCCGAUGAAGGACGCGAUAAGCUGCGAUAAGCUUCGGGUAGACGCACAUAGUCAGAGAUCCGAAGAUUUCCGAAUGAGGAAACUCACAUGGGAAACCCCAUGUAUCAUAAAGUGAAUACAUAGCUUUAUGAAGGUAAACCCAGGGAACUGAAACAUCUAAGUACCUGGAGGAAGAGAAAGAAAAAUCGAUUUUCUUAGUAGCGGCGAGCGAAAAGGAAAGAGCCCAAACCAGAGAUUUAUCUCUGGGGUUGCGGACAGAACAUAACGUGAAAUUAUAGUUAAUUGAACACAACUGGAAAGUUGGACCGUAGGAGGUAAUAGUCCUGUAAAUGAAAACUAUAAUGAGCAGUUCUGCACCAGAGUACCACGAGACACGUGAAACCUUGUGGGAAGCAGGGAGGACCACCUCCCAAGGCUAAAUACUACCUGAUGACCGAUAGUGAAGCAGUACCGUGAGGGAAAGGUGAAAAGAACCCCGGGAGGGGAGUGAAAUAGAACCUGAAACCAUGUGCCUACAACCGAUCAAAGCACCUUAUGUGUGUGAUGAUGUGCUUUUUGUAGAACGAGCCAACGAGUUACGGUAUGUAGCGAGGUUAAGUACUUAAGGUACGGAGCCGAAGGGAAACCGAGUCUUAAUAGGGCGACUAGUUGCAUGCUGUAGACCCGAAACCGGGUGACCUAUCCAUGGCCAGGUUGAAGCGAGGGUAAAACCUCGUGGAGGACCGAACCACGUUGCUGUUGAAAAAGCAUGGGAUGAGCUGUGGAUAGCGGAGAAAUUCCAAUCGAACUCGGAUAUAGCUGGUUCUCCUCGAAAUAGCUUUAGGGCUAGCGUCGGAAAAUGUGAGUAGUGGAGGUAGAGCACUGAAUAGGCUAGGGGGCAUAGCGCUUACCGAACCUUAUCAAACUCCGAAUGCCACAUACUAUCAGUCCGGCAGUCAGACUAUGAAAGAUAAGUUCCAUGGUCAAAAGGGAAACAGCCCAGAUCGUCAGCUAAGGUCCCAAAGUGUAAGUUAAGUGGAAAAGGAUGUGGGAUUUCUAAGACAACUAGGAUGUUGGCUUAGAAGCAGCCACUCAUUAAAAGAGUGCGUAAUAGCUCACUAGUCAAGAGAUCCUGCGCCGAAAAUGUCCGGGGCUCAAACUUACCACCGAAGCUACGGGUUCACGUGUAUAACGUGAGCGGUAGAGGAGCGUCGUAAUCGGGCUGAAGUCGUACCGUAAGGAGCGGUGGACUGAUUACGAGUGAGAAUGUUGGCAUUAGUAGCGAGAUGUAGGCGAGAAUCCUACAGGCCGAAUAUCUAAGGUUUCCUGAGUAAAGUUUGUCUUCUCAGGGUUAGUCGGGACCUAAGGCGAGGCCGAAAGGCGUAGUCGAUGGACAAUUGGUUGAUAUUCCAAUACCACUAUAAUCGUUAUUAUCGAUGGUGUGACGGAGAAGGAUAGGAUGUGCUAGCUAUUGGAUGCUAGUCUAAGCGUUUAGGGAGUUGGGAUUGGCAAAUCCGUUCCAACAAUUCUGAGGCGUGAUGGGGAAGGUUCUACGGAACCGAAGUAUCUGAUUCCAUGCUUCCAAGAAAAGCAUCUAGAGAGAGAAGUAGUGCCCGUACCGCAAACCGACACAGGUAGAUGAGGAGAGAAUCCUAAGGCCGACGGAAGAAUUGCAGUUAAGGAACUAGGCAAAUUGACCCCGUAACUUCGGGAGAAGGGGUGCCUGAGAAAUCAGGCCGCAGAGAAUAGGCACAAGCAACUGUUUAACAAAAACACAGGUCUCUGCUAAAGCGAAAGCUGAUGUAUAGGGGCUGACGCCUGCCCGGUGCUGGAAGGUUAAGGGGAACACUUAGUGGUAACGCGAAGGUGUGAACUUAAGCCCCAGUAAACGGCGGCCGUAACUAUAACGGUCCUAAGGUAGCGAAAUUCCUUGUCAGGUAAGUUCUGACCCGCACGAAUGGCGUAAUGACUUGUGCACUGUCUCAACUGCAAAUCCGGCGAAGUUGUAGUGCGAGUGAAGAUGCUCGCUACCCGCGAUUGGACGGAAAGACCCCGUAGAGCUUUACUGUAGCUUAGCAUUGAAUUUCGGUAUUGUCUGUACAGGAUAGGUGGGAGACUGGGAAACUAGGGCGUCAGCCUUGGUGGAGUCGUUGUUGGGAUACCACCCUGAUAGUAUUGAAGUUCUAACUGGAUGCCAUGAAACUGGUGACAGGACAUUGUUAGGUGGGCAGUUUGACUGGGGCGGUCGCCUCCUAAAAUGUAACGGAGGCGCCCAAAGGUUCCCUCAGAACGGUCGGAAAUCGUUCGAAGAGUGUAAAGGCAGAAGGGAGCCUGACUGCGACACCUACAAGUGGAGCAGGGACGAAAGUCGGGCUUAGUGAUCCGGUGGUACCUCGUGGGAGGGCCAUCGCUCAACGGAUAAAAGCUACCUCGGGGAUAACAGGCUGAUCUCCCCCAAGAGUUCACAUCGACGGGGAGGUUUGGCACCUCGAUGUCGGCUCGUCGCAUCCUGGGGCUGAAGUAGGUCCCAAGGGUUGGGCUGUUCGCCCAUUAAAGCGGCACGCGAGCUGGGUUCAGAACGUCGUGAGACAGUUCGGUCCCUAUCCGUCGCGGGCGUAGGAAAUUUGAGAGGAGCUGUCCUUAGUACGAGAGGACCGGGAUGGACUGACCUAUGGUGUACCAGUUGUUUCGCCAGAAGCAUAGCUGGGUAGCUAAGUCGGGAAGGGAUAAACGCUGAAAGCAUCUAAGUGUGAAGCCCACCUCAAGAUGAGAUUUCCCAUAGCAUAAGCUAGUAAGACCCCUUGAAGACUACAAGGUUGAUAGGUCAGAGGUGUAAGUGCGGCAACGCAUUUAGCUGACUGAUACUAAUAGGUCGAGGGCUUGACCAAU
RNAcentral lists this ribosomal RNA (2913 nucleotides) under Clostridium sp. MF28. Its description in RNAcentral is "bacterial LSU rRNA". It matches the Rfam family "Bacterial large subunit ribosomal RNA". Lineage: Bacteria; Bacillati; Bacillota; Clostridia; Eubacteriales; Clostridiaceae. The record is from RNAcentral.